GACGAACGCUGGCGGCGUGCUUAACACAUGCAAGUCGAACGGAAAGGCCCUGCUUUUGUGGGGUGCUCGAGUGGCGAACGGGUGAGUAACACGUGAGUAACCUGCCCUUGACUUUGGGAUAACUUCAGGAAACUGGGGCUAAUACCGGAUAGGAGCUCCUGCUGCAUGGUGGGGGUUGGAAAGUUUCGGCGGUUGGGGAUGGACUGGCGGCUUAUCAGCUUGUUGGUGGGGUAGUGGCUUACCAAGGCUUUGACGGGUAGCCGGCCUGAGAGGGUGACCGGCCACAUUGGGACUGAGAUACGGCCCAGACUCCUACGGGAGGCAGCAGUGGGGAAUAUUGCACAAUGGGCGGAAGCCUGAUGCAGCAACGCCGCGUGCGGGAUGACGGCCUUCGGGUUGUAAACCGCUUUCGCCUGUGACGAAGCGUGGGUGACGGUAAUGGGUAAAGAAGCACCGGCUAACUACGUG
This 468-nucleotide ribosomal RNA is filed under the name uncultured bacterium. RNAcentral describes it as "partial 16S ribosomal RNA". It matches the Rfam family "Bacterial small subunit ribosomal RNA", at positions 28 to 507 of the family's 1533-position model. The record is from RNAcentral.